ACAGAGGGGGCAAGCGUUAUUCGGAAUUACUGGGCGUAAAGGGCGCGUAGGCGGUUGUUUAAGUCAGAUGUGUAAUCCCCGAGCUUAACUUGGGAACUGCAUCUGAGACUGGAGAGCUAGAGUGCUGGAGAGGGUGGUAGAAUUCCACGUGUAGCGGUGAAAUGCGUAGAGAUGUGGAGGAAUACCAGUGGCGAAGGCGGCCACCUGGACAGCAACUGACGCUGAGGCGCGAAAGUGUGGGUAGCAAACAG
RNAcentral lists this ribosomal RNA (251 nucleotides) under uncultured prokaryote. Its description in RNAcentral is "partial 16S rRNA". It matches the Rfam family "Bacterial small subunit ribosomal RNA", at positions 525 to 775 of the family's 1533-position model. The record is from RNAcentral.